This 438-nucleotide ribosomal RNA is filed under the name uncultured Glomus. RNAcentral's name for it is "bacterial SSU rRNA". It matches the Rfam family "Eukaryotic small subunit ribosomal RNA", at positions 646 to 1085 of the family's 1831-position model. The record is from RNAcentral. Lineage: Eukaryota; Fungi; Glomeromycota; Glomeromycetes; Glomerales; Glomeraceae.
CGGGAUCAAUUUAUUGGUCGUGCUAUUGUACGUACUGGUAUUAUUGAUUCCUACCUUCUGACGAACCAUGAUGUCAUUAAUUUGGUGUCAUGGGGAAUCAGGACUGUUACUUUGAAAAAAUUAGAGUGUUUAAAGCAGGCUCACGCUUGAAUACAUUAGCAUGGAAUAACGAAAUAGGACGUUUGAUUCUAUUUUGUUGGUUUCUAGGAUCGACGUAAUGAUUAAUAGGGAUAGUUGGGGGCAUUAGUAUUCAAUUGUCAGAGGUGAAAUUCUUGGAUCUAUUGAAGACUAACUACUGCGAAAGCAUUUGCCAAGGAUGUUUUCAUUAAUCAAGAACGAAGGUUAGGGGAUCGAAAACGAUCAGAUACCGUUGUAGUCUUAACAGUAAACUAUGCCGACUAGGGAUCGGACGACCUCUUUUUUAUGUGUCGUUCGGCA